RNAcentral lists this ribosomal RNA (822 nucleotides) under Glomus sp. Att1192-44. RNAcentral's name for it is "eukaryotic LSU rRNA". It matches the Rfam family "Eukaryotic large subunit ribosomal RNA", at positions 1 to 668 of the family's 3401-position model. Lineage: Eukaryota; Fungi; Glomeromycota; Glomeromycetes; Glomerales; Glomeraceae. The record is from RNAcentral.
AUUUGACCUCAAAUCAGGUAGGAACACCCGCUGAACUUAAGCAUAUCAAUAAGCGGAGGAAAAGAAAAUAACAAUGAUUCCCCUAGUAACUGCGAGUGAAGAGGGACAAGCUCAAAUUUUAAAUCCAUCGGGUUUUACCCGAUCGAGUUGUAAUUUGAAGAGGCGUUUUCUGUGUUUCUGAUCAGUCCAAGUCCUUUGGGAUAAGGCAUCAUGGAGGGUGAGAAUCCCGUCCGGUUGAUCAGAUUCGCUUUACGAUACGCUUUCUAAGAGUCAAGUUGUUUGGGAUUGCAGCUUAAAAUGGGAGGUAAAUUUCUCCUAAGGCUAAAUAACGGCGAGAGACCGAUAGCGAACAAGUACCGUGAGGGAAAGAUGAAAAGAACUUUGAAAAGAGAGUUAAACAGUACGUGAAAUUGUUGAAAGGGAAACGAUUGAAGCCAGUCGUACCUUCGGGUAAUCAGCCUUUCGGGUGCGAUUAUGUGGAGUGUGAGGAGCUUAAACACCUUCAUGUUUUGCAUAUUCGUACUCUUGGGUGUACUUGCCCGUGUGGUUGGUUAACAUCAAUUUUGGUGGUCAUAAAAUGACUGGAGGAAUGUAGCUUCGAUCUCGUAUUGAAGUGUUAUAGCCUUCGGUAGAUGUGAUGAUCGAGAUUGAGGAUUGCAACGGAUACCCUUCGGGGCUACCUGUCUGGUCUCUGAUCGUUGCUCUGGUGCCGAAAGCUUGCUUACGGUUAUCAAAGUCGAUGGUCAAUAGGUUAGAACGGGUUAAAUUCGUUAAGGAUGUUGACGUAAUGGCUUUAAACGACCCGUCUUGAAACACGGACCA